AACGAACGCUGGCGGCAGGCUUAACACAUGCAAGUCGAACGCCCCGCAAGGGGAGUGGCAGACGGGUGAGUAACGCGUGGGAACAUACCCUUUUCUACGGAAUAGCUCUGGGAAACUGGAAUUAAUACCGUAUACGCCCUACGGGGGAAAGAUUUAUCGGGGAAGGAUUGGCCCGCGUUGGAUUAGCUAGUUGGUGGGGUAAAGGCCUACCAAGGCGACGAUCCAUAGCUGGUCUGAGAGGAUGAUCAGCCACAUUGGGACUGAGACACGGCCCAAGCUCCUACGGGAGGCAGCAGUGGGGAAUAUUGGACAAUGGGCGCAAGCCUGAUCCAGCCAUGCCGCGUGAGUGAUGAAGGCCUUAGGGUUGUAAAGCUCUUUCACCGAUGAAGAUAAUGACGGUAGUCGGAGAAGAAGCCCCGGCUAACUUCGUG
Molecule: ribosomal RNA, 431 nt
Filed under: uncultured bacterium
Lineage: Bacteria
Description: partial 16S ribosomal RNA
Rfam family: Bacterial small subunit ribosomal RNA
Source: RNAcentral